AAGGUUGAUGAUGAUAUUAUUCGUACCGCCCCAGUCUGAUAUAAUAUGACGAUUGGUAUACUAUCUGAAUUAUU
Planococcus citri (citrus mealybug) is the source of this 74-nucleotide small nucleolar RNA. The record is from RefSeq and is a predicted model, not a curated record. Lineage: Eukaryota; Metazoa; Arthropoda; Insecta; Hemiptera; Pseudococcidae.